RNAcentral lists this ribosomal RNA (253 nucleotides) under uncultured bacterium. RNAcentral's name for it is "partial 16S ribosomal RNA". It matches the Rfam family "Bacterial small subunit ribosomal RNA", at positions 524 to 776 of the family's 1533-position model. The record is from RNAcentral.
UACGGGGGGGGCAAGCGUUGUUCGGAAUUACUGGGCGUAAAGGGCUCGUAGGCGGCCAACUAAGUCAGACGUGAAAUCCCUCGGCUUAACCGGGGAACUGCGUCUGAUACUGGAUGGCUUGAGUUUGGGAGAGGGAUGCGGAAUUCCUGGUGUAGCGGUGAAAUGCGCAGAUAUCAGGAGGAACACCGAUUGCGAAGGCAGCUCGCUGGGACGUUACUGACGCUGAGACGCGAAAGCGUGGGGAGCAAACAGG